CCUACGGGUGGCAGCAGUGAGGAAUAUUGGUCAAUGGACGAGAGUCUGAACCAGCCAAGUAGCGUGAAGGAUGACUGCCCUAUGGGUUGUAAACUUCUUUUAUAAAGGAAUAAAACGCGUCACGUGUGCCUUUUUGCAUGUACUUUAUGAAUAAGCAUCGGCUAACUCCGUGCCAGCAGCCGCGGUAAUCCGGAGGAUCCGAGCGUUAUCCGGAUUUAUUGGGUUUAAAGGGAGCGUAGAUGGGGUGUUAAGUCAGGUGUGAAAGUUUGGGGCUCAACCGGAAAAUUGCAGUUGAUACUGGCAGCCUUGAGUACACGUGAAGUAGGCGGAAUUCGUGGUGUAGCGGUGAAAUGCUUAGAUAUCACGAAGAACUCCGAUUGCGAAGGCAGCCUACUAAACUGCAACUGACAUUGAUGCUCGAAAGUGUGGGUAUCAAACAGGAUUAGAUACCCCGGUAGUC
RNAcentral lists this ribosomal RNA (460 nucleotides) under uncultured bacterium. RNAcentral's name for it is "partial 16S ribosomal RNA". It matches the Rfam family "Bacterial small subunit ribosomal RNA", at positions 338 to 795 of the family's 1533-position model. The record is from RNAcentral.